CGCCAGGUGCCCAGGUUGCUGUUUACGUCAUCAAUCGUUUUCGUCUGCAGUGCAAAAUAGGGCCCUAAAGUUCGACGUGUUUAUUUGAAUUAGGCCACCAUGUUAAAGUUCAACCAUUAAACUGUGUUAUUAUAAUGAGAUGAGAUUGUAGAGAUUGACGUCGACGUAAUCAGUGAAAAUAUAUCAUCACCAUUGAGCCCUCAAAAUGUCGUGAAUGACCGACCAUGGCACUUUGCAAGAUGGAGGAGAUCCUACACCUGAGCCAAGGCCACCGACAAUGAAAGAAAAUAGAGGCUACCCGAAAGGACCCAUGGUCACAUACCGAUAUACCAACAGCCGGCUUUUUCUGCUUAAAUUUUCAUGAUGCAGGUUCAACACAAUCAUCUGCCUACUAUUGAAGUUGAUAGAUCAUAUCGCUAACCCUGGCAUAGACAACCUUGAGCCAGUCCAGCCUUUAAAUUCUUCCAUCAAAGUUCAGAAAAUGUAAAAUGCGUAAUUUUUUAUUUGUUUAAUGUAUCAAUUCUUUUAUAGGGAAAGUUAAGCAAGUUGCUCAUCAUCAUCAUGUUCAUCAUCGUUUUCAUCUUCAUCAUCUCUCGACUGAUCUCAUCUUCUGGACAACCUAGAAAACCUCAUGUAUGUCACCGUA
Daphnia pulex (common water flea) is the source of this 646-nucleotide long non-coding RNA. RefSeq lists it as uncharacterized. The transcript has 3 exons. The record is from RefSeq and is a predicted model, not a curated record. NCBI's taxonomy places the organism in Eukaryota, Metazoa, Arthropoda, Branchiopoda, Diplostraca, Daphniidae.